GAUGAAGAACGCAGUGAAAUGCGAUAAGUAAUGUGAAUUGCAGAAUUCAGUGAAUCAUCGAAUCUUUGAACGCACAUUGCGCCCGCCAGUAUUCUGGCGGGCAUGCCUGUUCGAGCGUCAUUUCAACCAUCAAGCCCCCGGCUUGUGUUGGGGACCUGCGGCUGCCGCAGGCCCUGAAAACCAGUGGCGGGCUCGCUAGUCACUCCGAGCGUAGUAAUACAUCUCGCUCAGGGCGUGCUGCGGGUUCCGGCCGUUAAAAGCCUUAUUUUACCCAAGGUUGACCUCGGAUCAGGUAGGAAGACCCGCUGAACUUAAGCAUAUCAAUAACGGAGGA
RNAcentral lists this unclassified non-coding RNA (334 nucleotides) under soil metagenome. RNAcentral describes it as "partial contains 5.8S ribosomal RNA, internal transcribed spacer 2, and large subunit ribosomal RNA". The stretch from base 1 to 120 matches the Rfam family "5.8S ribosomal RNA", at positions 35 to 154 of the family's 154-position model. The record is from RNAcentral.